This 333-nucleotide ribosomal RNA is filed under the name uncultured cyanobacterium. RNAcentral describes it as "bacterial SSU rRNA". It matches the Rfam family "Bacterial small subunit ribosomal RNA", at positions 376 to 723 of the family's 1533-position model. The record is from RNAcentral. Lineage: Bacteria; Bacillati; Cyanobacteriota.
CGAAAGCCUGAUGGAGCAAUACCGCGUGAGGGAUGAAGCAUCGUGGUGUGUAAACCUCUUUUCUUAAGGAAGAAUCAAUGACGGUACUUAAGGAAUAAGCACCGGCUAACUCUGUGCCAGCAGCCGCGGUAAUACAGAGGGUGCAAGCGUUGUCCGGAAUGAUUGGGCGUAAAGCAUCUGUAGGUGGUUUCUAAAGUCAACUGUUAAAUCCCAGAGCUCAACUUUGGCCAAGCAGUUGAGUACUUAGAGACUUGAGUACGGUAGGGGUAGAGGGAAUUCCUUGUUUAGCGGUGAAAUGCAUAGAGAUAAGGAAGAACACCAGUGGCGAAAGCG